Molecule: long non-coding RNA, 895 nt
Filed under: Marmota monax (woodchuck)
Lineage: Eukaryota; Metazoa; Chordata; Mammalia; Rodentia; Sciuridae
Source: RNAcentral
GCUUGAGAAAUGGUUACCCCACCCCUCAGAACAUAUCCCCAAGUUGCCCACUCACUGAGAUGUCUGCAUCUCGUUCUUAGGUUAUCUGGAGCCCUGCUGAAUUUACAAAGGGCUGUGCGGGACCAUUUUGGUGUAAAAUGCACCACUUUCCCUCCCACACCAACAUCCGUUCCUUUGCCUUCCUUGGCCACCCUUAUCUUUCUGCAGUUGUGCUAGAUUCAAAAGUCACUAACCCUGUCUAUGGCAAAGAAAUAGCCCACUUCUGCUUCUGCCACCAUAAUAACAGAAAGGAGGCGACAGGAAGAGCGAUGUGUCACCUACACAGGCUGGCACCUACCUCCCCUUAGAGCCGCCACUCAGUUCUUAGAGGGGUGCUGGUUGCAUGAGGGCCCUCAGCACUCACCCUGCCUAGUUUCUUGCUAGAAAGCAGUACAAACCACAGGGAGGAAUCACUGCUCAAUAGGAUUCUUUCCCAAAAUGUACAAUCUCAAGUUUAAUUCCAAGAAAACAUCUCACAGACCCAAAUAAAGAAACUUGUGAAAUAUUUGACCAAAAUAUUUACAAGUAUUUGAUUUUUCAAAUAUAUCAAGGUCAUGAAAGACAAGGAAAAAACUGAGAAAAAGUCACAGAUUUAGGAAAACUUAAGAGACAGACGACAAAAUGCAACGUGGAAUCCUGGGUUGGAUCUGAGAACAGAUAAAGAGAAACGUGGGUGGAACCUGAUUCAAAGUCUGUAGUAUCGUGUUAAUAGUAUCAUGCUAAUAUUAGCCUCUUGGUUUUGAUCUUUGUGCUCUUUAUGUAAGAUAUUAAAUUAGGUAAGGUUGGGUGAAGACUAGGCAGAAACUUUCUGAUUUGUUUUUGCAAUUUAUUGUGUAAUUCUAACUUGACUCCAUAA